UUUGGGGAUGUUUUGAUGCAGAUUUGUAACCGCCGUUUUGAGGCCAGCUUGCUGGUACCCAAACAGCGUUAGCAUCUUUUGUCUUGGACAUUUGAGUAUGGYUUACGGGCAUUUAUUGGUUCGAUCUGAUUGUAAGUUACGGUCGCAUGCGACACGUGCUUUUCAUUUAGAUCGGUCCAGUUAAUGCUCUCGUACUCGCUCCCCAUGUAAAAGCCGGUCAUCUAUCCRACCCGUCUUGAAACACGGACCAAGGAGUUUAUCGUGUGCGCAAGUUUUUGGGUGUUAAAAACCUAAAAGCGAAAUGAAAGUAAAUGGCUCUUUARAGUCUGACGUGCGAUCUUGUAAAAAAGGGCAGCAUGGCCCCAUUCUAACUGUUUACAGUAGGGUGGAGGAAGAGCGUACGCGGUGAGACCCGAAAGAUGGUGAACUAUUCCUGAGCAGGACGAAGCCAGAGGAAACUCUGGUGGA
This 468-nucleotide ribosomal RNA is filed under the name Meloidogyne enterolobii. RNAcentral's name for it is "partial large subunit ribosomal RNA". It matches the Rfam family "Eukaryotic large subunit ribosomal RNA", at positions 440 to 871 of the family's 3401-position model. The record is from RNAcentral. Lineage: Eukaryota; Metazoa; Nematoda; Chromadorea; Rhabditida; Meloidogynidae.